RNAcentral lists this ribosomal RNA (469 nucleotides) under uncultured bacterium. Its description in RNAcentral is "SSU rRNA". It matches the Rfam family "Bacterial small subunit ribosomal RNA", at positions 26 to 518 of the family's 1533-position model. The record is from RNAcentral.
AGGACGAACGCUGGCGGCGUGCUUAACACAUGCAAGUCGAGCGGAAAGGCCCUUCGGGGUACUCGAGCGGCGAACGGGUGAGUAACACGUGAGCAAUCUGCCCUUAGCUUCGGGAUAGCUCCGGGAAACCGGAAUUAAUACCGGAUAUGACUAUGGCUGACAUCAGCCACGGUGGAAAGUUUUUCGGCUAGGGAUGAGCUCGCGGCCUAUCAGCUAGUUGGUGGGGUAACGGCCUACCAAGGCGACGACGGGUAGCCGGCCUGAGAGGGCGACCGGCCACACUGGGACUGAGACACGGCCCAGACUCCUACGGGAGGCAGCAGUGGGGAAUAUUGCGCAAUGGGGGAAACCCUGACGCAGCAACGCCGCGUGGAGGAUGAAAUAUCUUGGUAUGUAAACUCCUUUCGAUGGGGAAGAUUAUGACGGUACCCAUAGAAGAAGCCCCGGCUAACUUCGUGCCAGCAGCCGC